This 1221-nucleotide long non-coding RNA is filed under the name Nicotiana tabacum (common tobacco). RNAcentral describes it as "long non-coding RNA (NTAB_LNC013740)". The record is from RNAcentral. Lineage: Eukaryota; Viridiplantae; Streptophyta; Magnoliopsida; Solanales; Solanaceae.
AACUACUUGUUUGAACCAAACACUUUGACAAAUUGAAAAGAAGCAUAUUGAUUAAACUAUCACAAGAAACUGAAAUGAAUAUAAUAGCUAAUCAUCACUCUAGCGGCUCCAGGCCUAAAGCAUUGGGAUUAAUACCCAAACCCAGUGACCUGGGGUCCGGACUUGCUUAACCAAAUCCCAGCUAGGCUAAUUUGCAAGUUCAACCCACAUCACGUAACUCCCCUGAUGGAAUAGGUUCUGGAAAAUAACAAUACAUAGUUAAAUAUUCAAAUUAGGCACAAUGAACUUGAAUCAGAAUAUGUACGGCUAAAUCAAGGAUUAAAUUUACAAAUAUCGCCUAUUUUAUAGCUAUUGUUCACAUUCCAUCAAUGAGACUUUAUCUUUAUCACCUAUUCAAUUGUACCCUUUCUUCUCGAGCUGACUUUAAUUCAUAAUCAUAAGUAUAAAGUUGUUAUCAUUAAAUCACACAAAACACCAGAAUUAAUUCUAGAACCAUAUGAGCUCAAUCGAUUUUUAGAAUUCAUGCUUUAAACAUCAGUUGACUCCUAAUAUCAGGAAUUGCAUAAGCAAACUAAAGAUCAAAUUCAUUAUGAAACUAAAACUAUCAUUUGAAUAGCACGUUAUAAUAGCUCAAUCAAAGGUAGAUCAGCCUAACUAUUGAACAACAACACACGAAAUCAGAUGUAAACACAGCAAAUCAUUCGACUCUUCAUUAGCAAAUUCAAAUAGCAUUACAGAAAGAGUUUCACAUGCUUAGAAGCAAAAUCAACUGAUGAACUUGAUAAAUAAAUUUCAGAGAUGGAAAGUGAAGAUCUAGCCAGCAAAACAACAAUAAGCUCACAAACAAACAAACAACUCCACAGCUUGAAAGCAAUUCGAAAUCCCACGAAGAAAGUGAUGCAAAAACCAGUAAAAAUGGAAGAGCCAAACAACGUUUGUAGCUUUUUUUCUAUCUAUUUUUGAGCCUCAUAUUCUUGUUUUCAAAAAGAAAUCAGGGUGAAUUAAAGAAACCUUAUUUUCAUAGAGAUUUUUUGUAUCAAAAUCCCCUAUGAGAAUGAGAGGAGGAAUCCCAUUUUUAUAGAAUGUGAGCAUGUGCCCAUGAUAGGGAAUGAGAAAGAAUUAAAAGGAAUCUGCCAGCCCCUAAAGUUUAGGGAAAAUGUCAUCUUUCUUAACAAAACAAUUGAUAUCUGUCCAAUUUCUGGAUAUUUCCUCUCACUCUCA